This is a long non-coding RNA of Esox lucius (northern pike), 483 nucleotides long. NCBI's taxonomy places the organism in Eukaryota, Metazoa, Chordata, Actinopteri, Esociformes, Esocidae. The record is from Ensembl.
GAGAACCACUGCUUUAGCACACAGAUCGAGAAUUAAUGCAUUAGAACAAACAUUUUGUAUUCACAGUGAUUCUACAUUGAAUAUUGUUAUUGUAUUUAGCAUGAAUCUACACUGUAUAGUAUUGUUAUUGUAAUCAGGCAGAGGCCUGGUGAGGAAGCCAACCCAGGAGAACUGUGGGCCUAGGAGGAGAGGAGCACCUGGUUCAGGGAACAGAAGGCUUCCUCUUCCAUCCCAGUCACAGGUACAUACAGGAGGUCUUCUUCUAACAUCACAGGAACAUACAGGAGGUCUUCUUCUAACAUCACAGGUACAUACAGGAGGUCUUCUUCUAACAUCACAGGUACAUACAGGAGGUCUUCUUCUAACAUCACAGGUACAUACAGGAGGUCUUCUUCUAACAUCACAGGAACAUACAGGAGGUCUUCUUCUAACAUCACAGGUACAUACAGGAGGUCUUCUUCUAACAUCACAGGUACAUACAGG